Long non-coding RNA from Passer domesticus (house sparrow), 396 nucleotides. RefSeq lists it as uncharacterized. Lineage: Eukaryota; Metazoa; Chordata; Aves; Passeriformes; Passeridae. The transcript has 2 exons. The record is from RefSeq and is a predicted model, not a curated record.
UCCAUUUACUUUUGUGUCUAUUCAUGUUUGUCAUCAAAGUCUGAUUGAUGUCCAUGCUGUGUUUUCUGUCUGCCUUCUCAAUGUUUGUCUGUGGUAAUCUUGGUGGUGCUGAUUGGGACAUAGAAGAAAUUGUUCCUCUGCCAUGCAUAAACAUCUCAGCUGAAAGAAACUGAAAUGGAGUAACCUCAAAUACAUGCUUAUCCCAAGAACAAGAAUGCAGAGGUUUAGCUCUUCUUCUUAUGGCAAGCACACUGAAAAUGUGAGAGAUAGAGAUGAAAUAGACAUCCACCUGCCUUACACAGCCUGUUCCAUUGAACACAGACUUACACAUUUGUUUGAAAUCUUGAUUUGCUGUAUGCCUGCCCAAACUGCUUCUGAUGGGGAGAUAACACUGCU